GAGUAAUGCUUGGGAACAUGCCUUUAGGUGGGGGACAACCAUUGGAAACGAUGGCUAAUACCGCAUAAUGUCUACGGACCAAAGGGGGCUUCGGCUCUCGCCUUUAGAUUGGCCCAAGUGGGAUUAGCUAGUUGGUGAGGUAAUGGCUCACCAAGGCGACGAUCCCUAGCUGGUUUGAGAGGAUGAUCAGCCACACUGGAACUGAGACACGGUCCAGACUCCUACGGGAGGCAGCAGUGGGGAAUAUUGCACAAUGGGCGCAAGCCUGAUGCAGCCAUGCCGCGUGUGUGAAGAAGGCCUUCGGGUUGUAAAGCACUUUCAGUAAGGAGGAAAGGUUAGUAGUUAAUACCUGCUAGCUGUGACGUUACUUACAGAAGAAGCACCGGCUAACUCCGUGCCAGCAGCCGCGGUAAUACGGAGGGUGCGAGCGUUAAUCGGAAUUACUGGGCGUAAAGCGUACGCAGGCGGUUUGUUAAGCGAGAUGUGAAAGCCCCGGGCUCAACCUGGGAACUGCAUUUCGAACUGGCAAACUAGAGUGUGAUAGAGGGUGGUAGAAUUUCAGGUGUAGCGGUGAAAUGCGUAGAGAUCUGAAGGAAUACCGAUGGCGAAGGCAGCCACCUGGGUCAACACUGACGCUCAUGUACGAAAGCGUGGGGAGCAAACGGGAUUAGAUACCCCGGUAGUCCACGC
Molecule: ribosomal RNA, 690 nt
Filed under: bacterium PK73
Lineage: Bacteria
Description: bacterial SSU rRNA
Rfam family: Bacterial small subunit ribosomal RNA
Source: RNAcentral